CCUACAGUAGCUCUCCAGGAGCAGGAUUGGAGACCCCCGCCUUAGAAUGAGAAACAACGCAAGCAGAUAGGAAAAGUUUGAAUAAGAAGGGGGGAUACAGAACCAGAAGGGAACUGUGUGUUUUAAUCACAUGCCUCAUAUCAUAGUCGAGUAUGACAGCUAAUUGACAGUUGAGACGGGAUACAGGGAUGUGUAAACAGUCCACGCUGAGAACAUGUUAUGCUGUUGCUCCGCACAGUCUGGCGGAUGGAUCAACGUCUUGGCUGUCUUCUGAUCUGCCUGACACAACGAAUGGCCAAGUCUGUGAAUAGAGAUCAGGGAUAGAGUUACCGCAGAUGCAGCCUGCUUUCACGCGCGGCCCUGUUGCAUCUGUCUCAGCUGGUCAGCGUUCCCAUGACAUCUGGAGCACUGGCAUGACUGAGGCGUGGUAGAGCAGGGGGCGAGCCCGGAACAUUCCCAGGGAAUGCUCCCUAAUCCACGGAAACGUUCCCUGUCUUCCUGUAAUCCUGUUCCUCAAACCAUCGCUCCGAAGAGAAGGCGCGGGGCAUCAGGAGGACCUUGGGGAUCCACUUCAGCGUGUCAUCAGGUUGAGGUAUAGAGUUCCUCUUGUCCUCGCUGGACCGUCAGGCAAACUGCCAUCUCCUCCACUGUCAGUGCAUUCAUCAGCGCUACGGACACGUACAUGCAGCACAAGGUGCAAGCUAAGGGAUUUUAUGACAAGAUAUGAGAGAUUAAUGUUUUAUUUAAUUCUCUGUCCUAUUUUGUCAAAAGUACAUGAAAAGUUAUCGGCUUUGUGACACAUAUUUUAGCCCUGGCAUAACAUCUUGUCAGAGCAGCGAGCUUUGCUAGACAGGGGUAUCCAUUAGUCAGUUUGUCAAUGUAGUUAGUCAAACAUUGCUCAAAACAUCAGCAUAAUGGAUGACAUGCUGAAUCUAUUAGCCAUGGGAAUAAUUAAAAUCAGGGGAAACAGUCAUAAAUAUCUCAUGAGUUUUCACUUGAACGGAGACUUUAGCAUUUGUCUAUCAGCGCCGACUCUUAGACUUCAUGACCCCCGUCAUGGCCUUGCUUAGUGUGUCUUGGAGGCUGAGCGACAGGUGCAGGCUGAUGAUGUCAGAGGGCGGUUUGUGUUUUGCACCCCAGGCUCCGUUCCCAUGGUCACCGUGGCUUCAUAGCUGCAUUGGUGAACAAAUGGAGUAUGACACCAGCAUCACAGCUAUUAGACUAAUCAGUGUGAAUCCCAUCCCAUCACAGUAUGCCUUCACACCCUUCUCUGAAGUACAACUUUAUAAUAGAGGACAAGAUACUUUGUGUUUAGUAACAAUUUGUAGUCAAACUGCAAACUGGUGAUGUAUUCUGAUAUGUUACAGUAAAUAUUUGCCAAA
Osmerus eperlanus (European smelt) is the source of this 1382-nucleotide long non-coding RNA. RefSeq lists it as uncharacterized. The record is from RefSeq and is a predicted model, not a curated record. The transcript has 3 exons. Lineage: Eukaryota; Metazoa; Chordata; Actinopteri; Osmeriformes; Osmeridae.